GACGAACGCUGGCGGCGUGCUUAACACAUGCAAGUCGAACGGAAAGGCCCUGCUUUUGUGGGGUGCUCGAGUGGCGAACGGGUGCGUAACACGUGAGUAACCUGCCCUUGACUUUGGGAUAACUUCAGGAAACUGGGGCUAAUACCGGAUAGGAGCUCCUGCUGCAUGGUGGGGGUUGGAAAGUUUCGGCGGUUGGGGAUGGACUCGCGGCUUAUCAGCUUGUUGGUGGGGUAGUGGCUUACCAAGGCUUUGACGGGUAGCCGGCCUGAGAGGGUGACCGGCCACAUUGGGACUGAGAUACGGCCCAGACUCCUACGGGAGGCAGCAGUGGGGAAUAUUGCACAAUGGGCGGAAGCCCGAUGCAGCAACGCCGCGUGCGGGAUGACGGCCUUCGGGUUGUAAACCGCUUUCGCCUGUGACGAAGCGUGAGUGACGGUAAUGGGUAAAGAAGCACCGGCUAACUACGUG
RNAcentral lists this ribosomal RNA (468 nucleotides) under uncultured bacterium. RNAcentral's name for it is "partial 16S ribosomal RNA". It matches the Rfam family "Bacterial small subunit ribosomal RNA", at positions 28 to 507 of the family's 1533-position model. The record is from RNAcentral.